This 223-nucleotide ribosomal RNA is filed under the name uncultured bacterium. Its description in RNAcentral is "partial 16S ribosomal RNA". It matches the Rfam family "Bacterial small subunit ribosomal RNA", at positions 28 to 252 of the family's 1533-position model. The record is from RNAcentral.
GACGAACGCUGGCGGCGUGCUUAACACAUGCAAGUCGAGCGGUAAGGCCCUUUCGGGAGUACACGAGCGGCGAACGGGUGAGUAACACGUGGGUGACCUGCCCUCAGCUCUGGGAUAAGCCUGGGAAACCGGGUCUAAUACUGGAUAUGACUCCAUGACGCAUGUUGUGGGGUGGAAAGCCUUGUGCGGCUGAGGAUGGGCCCGCGGCCUAUCAGCUUGUUGG